This is a long non-coding RNA of Monodelphis domestica (gray short-tailed opossum), 1572 nucleotides long. NCBI's taxonomy places the organism in Eukaryota, Metazoa, Chordata, Mammalia, Didelphimorphia, Didelphidae. The record is from Ensembl.
GUCUUCUGUCACAGCAUGGGCAAUAUGGAAAUAUGUGUUGCAUGAAAGCACUGAUAUAACCUAUAUCAGGCUAUUGCCUUGGAAAGAGUAGGAAGGAAGGAGGGAGGAGGUGGAGCCGGCCGAGGAGCGGAGCCAAUAGAAUGCCGACUCCGCGGCUGUUUCUAGGGGGUUGCCAUAAACAACAGCGUGGUGGCAGAGUAAUAAUAGUAAUAAUGGGGACUCGGGGCCCGACACCCCCGAGAUGCCGGCCGGUGGUUUCCUCUCUGACGAACGAAGUUCUCGGAACGUGACCCAGAAACGAGCCGGGCUGCGGAGCUCUGGUCAGCCCCCAUCCCUUGGAGAGGACAGUUAGGAGGGCAGCGGAUGCUGCCUGGGGGAGCUCCGGGCUAGGAUCUUGGCCAGGACUCGAGGAGAAGCGGAGUCCAAAAAUGCCUCCACAGCCCGAACUCGUUAGGGGGGCGCUUGGAGCGCGGCACACGCGCACACACCCUUCCCUCGGAGCUGAGCCUCGUCUUCUUUUGUUUUUCUCUGUUCCUGGUCAUAAGACCCGGAAGUUUGGGGUUCCCCCCUCCUCCUCCCCCCUUCUGUCUCUCUCUUUUCCUCCCCCUAAAUCUAUCACAUGGCCGAGAUGUAAUAAAAACAGAAAAAUGGCGACGGUCACGUUGUGGCGCGCCUUGCUGCGUCAUUAAAUAACCUUCGGGCAAAUAUCGGGAAGAACAAAGGGACAGGGGGGCCCGGAGCCCUCGGGGAGCGCAGGUGGGUUAGGGGGUGCUGGCCGGGGAGCGACCCGGGGGCGCUGUGCGCGGGGCUCUCCGUGUGGCUGCGCGCGCCUGGCUGGGUGUGUGCGUGCGGGCGUGUGUGUGUGUUUACGCACACGCGCGCGCCCGUGGGGCUCGCCAGGCUUUGCGUUCCGGCGGGGACAAGAGCCCGGGUGCGGCCCGCGCUCGCUCUUGGGCCGCCCGGGGCUUUAGGGCUGGAGGAUUGGGCCGCGCAGCACAGCGCAGUUCAACCCGCUCCGCGCUGCACCCAUCGCCGGCUCUUCCCGUGCGCGCACACGCUCUCCCGCGCGCGCGCACACACAUACACACAUACACACCCUCCCGGGGCGGUUGCGCCGGGGGCGGGGACGUGUGUCUAUGUCUGUGCGUUGCGUUUUGUGGCGUUGCGUUGUGUUGUGUUGUGCCGGCGGCUCACCGGACAGCGCGCCCAGCCUGGGAUCCGGCGGGAGGAGUCUUCGAGGAGGGGCCGAGGAGGAGGAGCGGGGGGCAGGAGAAGGAAGACGCGAGUGAGUCCCCGCGGUCACCAGCGCGGCCACCAGCGCAGCCACCGCGGCCGGGGCCGCCGCGCAGCUGGGCUCGGCGCCAAGCAGACGAGCCGGGAUCUCGCCCCGCACGCUUGGCCGGACCGACAGACGGACGGAGCGGACAGACUGGGCUGGGCCCCCGGGUCCGGCCGGAAUCACAGACCGGGAGCUCGAAGCGACCCCGAGGCCCCCGGCAGAAACUGGCUCCGGCACAGAGCUCCAGGCUAGGAAUCUUCCCGGUUUCCAACCUGACCUCAGAUCCUUCCUAG